Bubalus bubalis (water buffalo) is the source of this 1381-nucleotide long non-coding RNA. RefSeq lists it as uncharacterized. Lineage: Eukaryota; Metazoa; Chordata; Mammalia; Artiodactyla; Bovidae. The record is from RefSeq and is a predicted model, not a curated record. The transcript is spliced from 2 exons.
GAACCUGCAUCUUCUGCAUUGGCAGGCAGAUUCUUUACCACUGGCCUCACCUGGGAAGCCCCACUGGUAAAGGAGCUGUUAAAGGGGCAUACAACCCUCACUGAGUCGCUCUGGGGAUUACAUGAGAUGAUGCAUGUGACAUGCUUGGCACAGAGCCUGACACGGAGCAGCCCCAGAUGAAGGUUAAUUACUAUUGUCACAAGCACUUACAUGUGUAGUGAGUUGUGUAAAUGAAGAGAGCUUAGAGAGCAGAGCCUGGGAGCUCCCGGCAGGGUCAUCGCCUACCUUUCCAGUAACAGUGGCCCUGUAGGGUAAAGGCAAAUAUCAUCAGACUUGCCACCAUCACUCUCUUUCAGUAAAAUCGUGGUCAUCAAGGAUCCACAGCAUUGCUGCAAUCUCCUGACCACAUGGGCAGUACUGAAAGGAAGGACGAGGCAGAACGUUAAUAUCUCUCCCAGAAAAAUAUAUGGUCUAGAAGGCUAUAAACAGAGAGGGGUGACUGGUCCGCCAGCCACAUUUUGACUUCGCGGAAAAGGUUAAGAGACUGCACAGUGAAGCACAGUGUCUGGAGGAGGAGAGGAGCCACCGCGGCAGUCUGGAGGAGAGAGGGGAAUGGGAGAUGACGGCGCUGCCCCACCUUGAACCCCUGGUCCUGAGCCAGGCGCGGCCCUUCUGCCGGCCUAUUCAUUCCAAGCACCAACAUCUGCCCUGAAUGCUUCAAGGUAAUUAGCACCACAUGUUAUCAACAGGAAGCUGGUACCCACGGGCACUUGAGAUAAUUGUUUCAGCACCGGCACGUCUCUGCCUACCGUGAAAGGUCACUGCAGCCAAUAUAUUCCCACCACCCCCAUCCCUCUCGUCAAAUGAAAAAAGCUGUCCCCAUGACUGCAGUUCUAUCAGUUCUUUGGUGCCGGGCUCAAGGCACCCAUACAAAGGCUUCUCAGAGGGACAUGUGCUCCAGGAGUUUGUAGCGAAUACUUCCUCUGACAUCGCAGCAUGGCCAUCCCCUCAUAUAGGCAGUAGUUGAGGAACACAGCCAGGUUUCGUGUGUCUGGGACCUGAUGUGCUCAGAAGAAGAAAAUACAAUUGCAUUAGAUGACUGUGACCAAAACUGCUCAGGACCCCUGCCAAAGUCCGAGGAAGCAUCUUCCAGAGAGCCAGUAGAAGUGGAAAUCUCAGUGCCCUGGCCAGUCCUGCUCCAGGAAGGUGACUGAGCCGCAGUCUCCUUCCUCUAGAUCUGUGUCCCCUCUCCUGUUCUCUUUUCCCUGACCUCACCCUCUUAAUACAUCCUCCUCUGGGUCUCACCUUAGCCAGCGCUCACCCCCGAAUCUCUCAUAACCCUCAGUCUCUCCAGCCUUGUCUGUCCCACCCCAAUCCCUCC